UGACGAGUGGCGGACGGGUGAGUAACGCGUGGGAACAUGCCUAUCAGUUGGGGACAACCUGUGGAAACGCAGGCUAAUACCGAAUACGUUCUACGGAAUAAAGGUGGCCUCUACUUGUAAGCUAUCGCUGAUAGAUUGGCCCGCGUUGGAUUAGCUAGUUGGUGGGGUAAAGGCCUACCAAGGCGACGAUCCAUAGCUGGUUUGAGAGGAUGAUCAGCCACACUGGGACUGAGACACGGCCCAGACUCCUACGGGAGGCAGCAGUGGGGAAUAUUGGACAAUGGGCGCAAGCCUGAUCCAGCAAUGCCGCGUGUGUGAAGAAGGCCUGAGGGUUGUAAAGCACUUUCAAUUGUGAAGAAAUGCUAAUGAUUAAUACUCAUUAGUCUUGACGUUAACUUUAGAAGAAGCACCGGCUAACUCUGUGCCAGCAGCCGCGGUAAUACAGAGGGUGCAAGCGUUAAUCGGAAUUACUGGGCGUAAAGCGCGCGUAGGUGGUUUGAUAAGUUGGAUGUGAAAUCCCCGGGCUUAACCUGGGUCGGUCAUCCAAAACUGUCAGACUAGAGUAUGGUAGAGGGUAGUGGAAUUUCUAGUGUAGCGGUGAAAUGCGUAGAUAUUAGAAGGAACACCAGUGGCGAAGGCGACUGCCUGGACUGAUACUGACACUGAGGUGCGAAAGCGUGGGUAGCGAACAGGAUUAGAUACCCUGGUAGUCCACGCCGUAAACGAUGACAACUAGACGUUGGGAGACUUAGAUCUCUUAGUGUCGAAGCUAACGCGUUAAGUUGUCCGCCUGGGGGAGUACGGUCGCAAGAUUAAAAACUCAAAGGAAUUGACGGGGGGCCCGCACAA
RNAcentral lists this ribosomal RNA (849 nucleotides) under uncultured bacterium. Its description in RNAcentral is "bacterial SSU rRNA". It matches the Rfam family "Bacterial small subunit ribosomal RNA", at positions 89 to 928 of the family's 1533-position model. The record is from RNAcentral.